UACGUAGGGGCUAGCGUUAUCCGGAAUUACUGGGCGUAAAGGGUGCGUAGGUGGUUUCUUAAGUCAGUGGUGAAUGGCUACGGCUCAACCGUAGUAAGCCUUUGAAACUGGGAAACUUGAGUGCAGGAGAGGAGAGUGGAAUUCCUAGUGUAGCGGUGAAAUGCGUAGAUAUUAGGAGGAACACCAGUUGCGAAGGCGGCUCUCUGGACUGUAACUGACACUGAGGCACGAAAGCGUGGGGAGCAAACAGGAUUAGAUACCCUGGUAGUCCCUGA
RNAcentral lists this ribosomal RNA (275 nucleotides) under uncultured prokaryote. RNAcentral describes it as "partial 16S ribosomal RNA". It matches the Rfam family "Bacterial small subunit ribosomal RNA", at positions 524 to 800 of the family's 1533-position model. The record is from RNAcentral.